RNAcentral lists this ribosomal RNA (460 nucleotides) under uncultured bacterium. RNAcentral's name for it is "partial 16S ribosomal RNA". It matches the Rfam family "Bacterial small subunit ribosomal RNA", at positions 338 to 795 of the family's 1533-position model. The record is from RNAcentral.
CCUACGGGUGGCAGCAGUGAGGAAUAUUGGUCAAUGGACGAGAGUCUGAACCAGCCAAGUAGCGUGAAGGAUGACUGCCCUAUGGGUUGUAAACUUCUUUUAUAUGGGAAUAAAAUGUUCCACGUGUGGGAUUUUGUAUGUACCAUAUGAAUAAGGAUCGGCUAACUCCGUGCCAGCAGCCGCGGUAAUACGGAGGAUCCGAGCGUUAGCCGGAUUUAUUGGGUUUAAAGGGAGCGUAGGUGGAUUGUUAAGUCAGUUGUGAAAGUUUGCGGCGCAACCGUAAAAGUGCAGUUGAAACUGGCAGUCUUGAGUACAGUAGAGGUGGGCGGAAUUCGUGGUGUAGCGGUGAAAUGCUUAGAUAGCACGAAGAACUCCGAUUGCGAAGGCAGUUCACUGGACUGCAACUGACACUGAGGCUCGAAAGUGUGGGUAUCAAACAGGAUUAGAUACCCUAGUAGUC